RNAcentral lists this ribosomal RNA (350 nucleotides) under uncultured bacterium. Its description in RNAcentral is "partial 16S ribosomal RNA". It matches the Rfam family "Bacterial small subunit ribosomal RNA", at positions 338 to 685 of the family's 1533-position model. The record is from RNAcentral.
CCUACGAGUAGCAGCAGUGAGGAAUAUUGGUCAAUGGACGCGAGUCUGAACCAGCCAAGUAGCGUUAAGGAUGACUGCCCUAUGGGUUGUAAACUUCUUUUAUAUGGGAAUAAACUGUUCCACGUGUGGGUUUUUGUAUGUACCUUAUGAAUAAGGAUCGGCUAACUCCGUGCCAGCAGCCGCGGUAAUACGGGGGAUCCGAGCGUUAUCCGGAUUUAUUGGGUUUAAAGGGAGCGUAGGUGGUUUGUUAAUUCAGUUGUGAAAGUUUGUGGCUCAACCGUAAAAUUGCAGUUGUAACUGCCAGUCUUGAGUACAGUAGGGGUGGGCGGAAUUCGGGGUGUAGCGGUGAA